Long non-coding RNA from Corvus hawaiiensis (hawaiian crow), 785 nucleotides. RefSeq lists it as uncharacterized. The record is from RefSeq and is a predicted model, not a curated record. NCBI's taxonomy places the organism in Eukaryota, Metazoa, Chordata, Aves, Passeriformes, Corvidae. The transcript is spliced from 2 exons.
GCUAGGGGCUUGUGCCCCGCUGUUCCGGUGCUCGGUUCUGGCGUCCAAGGGAGCGGGAAAGCCGCCCCUUCCCCAUUCUCCCCGAGUCACUCAAGCCGUCCCCGACGCACCCCCGGUCGGUGCGGUGAGUGGGGGGGGGGGGGGGGUGGCCCCGCGCCUGCCGCAUCCCCUCACAGCGCAGGGCUCCUUCGCUGUUGCAGGCGCGCUUUGACGCGGGUCACCUCCCUAAAACUCCCCAGCCCUUGGCCUUAAGGAACAAAACGGCCCGCUGUGAUAAUCAUCUCUGAUCUCGAGAUAACUUCCUACGUGCUCUAAGGGGCCGUUUCCUGCCUCUUCAUAGCCUUGUUCCCAGAUAACGGGGUCAAAGCCCUGUCUGGCUCAGGCGGGAGGGAAGAUGGUGUCGCAGCCGCUGAAGAGGAAGGAAACCCCGGAAAGGACUCAGCAGGGCUCGGGGGCAGCGCUUGGCACAUGGUGCGGAUGAGCUGUUUGAAUUUGAGAGGGAGGUUGGCGCCGUGAGCCCAGACAGGCACCGGGCUCUGAGUCACGUCCCGGGGGCCAGCAGUAGCAUUCGGCCUGUCCAGCUGCAGUGGGCAGGGGCGCGACAAAAUAACUGCACUGGUUCCCCGGACGUGCUAGAAACCUCUGCAAAUGGUGUGAUUUUAGCUCAGUCUUGUGACUUUGUUUAAUUUGUGCUUUUGAUUUUGGUUUUUAUUUUGCUUCAGGGCUGGCAAUGUGAAAUGAAGCAGCACUUGAAAGGAAAAAAAAAAAAAGCAAGCCGGUUCAAA